GACAGAGGUGCCGAGCGUUAGGCGGAAUCACUGGGCUUAAAGCGUGUGUAGGCGGGCGGGCAAGUACCUUGUGAAAUCCCACGGCUUAACCGUGGAACUGCUUGGUAUACUGGCGGUCUUGAGCCAGCUAGGGGCUACCGGAACAAAUGGUGGAGCGGUGAAAUGCGUAGAUAUCAUUUGGAACGCCAAUGGUGAAAACAGGUAGCUGGGGCUGUGCUGACGCUGAGACACGAAAGCCAGGGGAGCAAACGGG
RNAcentral lists this ribosomal RNA (253 nucleotides) under uncultured bacterium. RNAcentral's name for it is "partial 16S ribosomal RNA". It matches the Rfam family "Bacterial small subunit ribosomal RNA", at positions 524 to 776 of the family's 1533-position model. The record is from RNAcentral.